CCUACGGGAGGCUGCAGUGGGGAAUAUUGCGCAAUGGGCGAAAGCCUGACGCAGCGACGCCGCGUGAGGGAUGAAGGUCUUCGGAUCGUUAACCUCUGUCAGCAGGGAAGUACGGUCACUGUGCUAAUCAGCAGUGAAUUGACGUUACCUGCAAAGGAAGCACCGGCUAACUCCGUGCCAGCAGCCGCGGUAAUACGGAGGGUGCGAGCGUUAAUCGGUAUUACUGGGCGUAAAGCGCGCGUAGGCGGUAUGUCAAGUCAAGGGUGAAAUCCCCGCGCUCAACGUGGGAACUGCCUGUGAGACUGGCAAACUGGAGUGUGUGAGAGGAUAGUGGAAUUCCAGGUGUAGGAGUGAAAUCCGUAGAUAUCUGGAGGAACAUCAGUGGCGAAGGCGACUAUCUGGCACAUAACUGACGCUGAGGAGCGAAAGCGUGGGUAGCAAACAGGAUUAGAUACCCGAGUAGUC
RNAcentral lists this ribosomal RNA (465 nucleotides) under uncultured bacterium. RNAcentral's name for it is "partial 16S ribosomal RNA". It matches the Rfam family "Bacterial small subunit ribosomal RNA", at positions 338 to 795 of the family's 1533-position model. The record is from RNAcentral.